This is a long non-coding RNA of Ooceraea biroi (clonal raider ant), 855 nucleotides long. RefSeq lists it as uncharacterized. The record is from RefSeq and is a predicted model, not a curated record. NCBI's taxonomy places the organism in Eukaryota, Metazoa, Arthropoda, Insecta, Hymenoptera, Formicidae.
GUUGCGAGUGAGCGGACUUGAACUAUUAAGUGGCACCGACGAAACGUCGUUCUUCGUAAUCACGAUUGUAGAUCGUCGCGAUCAUUUGUCAGCGAUGGACUCGCAAAUGAGCAUAAAUAGUUGACGUGCUUUACAUGCAUAUUAUAUAGGAUUCACUUUAUCAUGUAAAAAAUCACAGCUGCUCUCUCGUUUGUCCUCGAAGAUUAAUAUGCAUUUACGACGUUUCAUAUUUCAAGCAUAAUGCCGUAUAAUGACUCGGCUAAGUUAUGCUGGAAUAUGAGAGUCGUGAAAAUACAAAGGGCUCCAGCACUCCGUCAGCAUCAGUGGAUGAUUUCGCGCUGUAUCGUUGAUAAACCGAGCAUAAUACUUUUAACGACGCUUUGCAAAGUUCUUAUACUCUGUUUACCGACAAUACAGCGCUCGUAAUUUUGCAAAAUGAUGAUGAACGUCGCGAAUUGAUAAAUCGAUAAAUAUAUCGGGCACAUCACUGUGUUUAAUCCGAAACGUGACUUUAAUUGAUAAGCAUUUGAUUAUAAAUUUUUUUAUGCAAAAGCAAAUGUGCAUUCUGCACAUUUUUUAAUCAAUUAGCGUUGAAUCAAUUAGCGUUGAUAGUAAUGUUGGAAUAAAUGUAAUAUUGCGAUAUUGUUCAUUAAAUGUAGCCACUCCUUUCAAUUCUAUAAUAUUUGUCAUAUAAGUAAUUAAUAUUUUUAAUAUGUAGUUUAUUAAUACUGUUCAUGUUGCGCGUAUGUUUUAUCUUUUUUAUUUUUUAUUUUAUAAGCUUUUAUGACGAUCGUGUAUGUUCACUGCUAACAAACGUGUCACAUUUACUCGAAUUAAUAAAUAAUAUUUUCCGAU